This is an RNA transcript of Callithrix jacchus (white-tufted-ear marmoset), 3290 nucleotides long. It is a transcript of the gene named splicing factor, proline- and glutamine-rich pseudogene, with no coding region annotated. The record is from RefSeq and is a predicted model, not a curated record. Lineage: Eukaryota; Metazoa; Chordata; Mammalia; Primates; Cebidae.
UGUAGAAGCUGAUUGAAACGGAGAAUGGGGACCAGCCGUGGUGAUUCACGCCUGUAAUCCCCAUACUUUGGGAUGAUUGCUUGAGGCCAAGAGUUCGAGACCAGUCUGGACAACAUUCUGAGACCUUGUCGCUAUAAAAAAUGUAAAAGUCGGCCGGGCGCGGUGGCUCACGCCUGUAAUUUCAGCACUUUGGGAGGCCGAGGUGGGUGGAUCACGAGGUCAAUAGAUCGAGACCAUCCUGGUCAACAUGGUGAAACCCCGUCUCUACUAAAAAUACAAAAAAAAUUAGCUGGGCAUGGUAGCGCAUGACUGUAAUCCCAGCUACUCGGGAGGCUGAGGCAGGAGAAUUGCCUGAACCCAGGAGGAGGAGGUUGCCGUGAGCCGAGAUCGCGCCAUUGCACUCCAGCCUGGGUAACAAGAGCGAAACUCCGUCUCAAAAAAAAAAAAAAAAAAGAAAACGUCAGCUGGGUAUAGUGGCACAUGCCUGUGGUCCCAACCAGAUGGCUGAAGUGGAUGGAGAGCUUCAACCUAGGAGGUCGAGGCUGCAGUGAGCUGUGGUCGUACCAUUGCACUCCACCCUGGGCGACAGAGUGAGACUCUCUCCAGAAGAAAAAAAAGAGAAAACUUACAGUUUGUAAAAAUUACAGCUUUGUCAUUCUAUAUGGAUAAACUUCAAAUGUCUUGCAAAAAAAAAAAAGCAAGUUACAAAAGAAUGGACAGUCUGAAACCGUCUGCAUGUAAUUUUAAAACACACAAAACAACUUAUUUAGAGAUGUGUAUGUUAAAAAUAUGAAAAAUACGGCCUGUGUCAUCCGCCAUUUUGUGAGAAGCAAGGUGGCCUCCACGUUUCCUGAGCGUCUUCUUCACUUCUGCCUCCACCGCCCCUUGACCACAGACAUGUCUCGGGAUCGGUUCCAGAGUCACGGCGGUGGUGGUGGUGGUUUCCACAGGCGCUGAGGAGGCGACGGCCGCGGAGGCCUCCACAACUUCUGUUCCCCGCCGCCCAGCAUGGGCUUCAAUCAGAACCGCGGCCCCAUGGGUCCUGGCCCGGGCCAGAGCGGCCCCAAGCCUCCGAUCCCACCACCGCCUCCACACCAACAGCAGCAGCAACCGCCACAGCAGCAGCAGCAGCCGCUGCCAACGCCGCAGGACUCUUGCAAGCCCAUUGUUGCUCAGGUACCCGGUCCUGCUCCCGGAGUAGGCAGCGCGCCGCCAGCCUCCAGCUCGGCCCCGCCCACCACUCCGCUGACCUCGGGGACCCAGCCAGGGUCCGGGCCAGGCCCGACCCGGACCCCGCUCACCGCGGUCACCUCGGCCCCUCCCCGGACGCCGCCACCCACCCCGCCAAGCACUGGGGUCCCUACCACACCUCCUCAGGCAGGAGGCUCGCCGCCUCCUCCCGCGACGGGCCGGGCCCAGGUCCGGGGACUAAGCAGGGCCCAGGCCCGGGCGGUCCCAAAGGUGGCAAAAUGCCUGGUGGGCCAAAGCCAGGUGGCGGUCCGGGCCUAAGCACUCCUGGAGGCCACCUGAAGCCGCCGCAACGAGGCGGCGGUGAGCGUCGCGGGGGCCACCAGCACCACCCGCCCUACCACCAGCAGCACUACCAGUGGCCCCCCGCCCGUUGGGCCCAGCGGCUGCAGCGAGGAGAAAAUCUCGGACUCGGAGGGGUUUUAAAGCCAACUUCUCUCUCUUGAGGAGGCCUGGAGAGAAAACUUACACACAGUGAUGUCGGUUAUUUGUUGGGAAUCUACCUGCUGAUAUCACGGAAGAUGAAUUCAGAAGACUAUUUGUUAAAUAUGGAGAACCUGGAAAAGAUUUAAUCAACAAAGGCAAAGGAUUCGGAUUUAUUAAGCCUGAAUCCAGAGCUUUGGCUGAAAUUGCCAAAGCUGAGCUCGAUGAUACGCCCAUGAGAGGUAGACAGCUUCGAGUUCGCUUUGCCACACAUGCUGCUGCCCUUUCUGUUCAUAAUCUUUCACCUUACGUUUCCAAUGAACUGUUGGAAGAAGCCUUCAGCCAGUUUGGUCCUAUUGAAAGGGCUGUUGUAAUAGUGGAUGAUCGUGGAAGAUCUACAGGGAAAGGCAUUGUUGAAUUUGCUUCUAAACCAGCAGCAAGAAAGGCAUUUGAACGAUACAGUGAAGAUGUUUUCUUGCUGACAACAACUCCUCGUCCAGUCAUCGUGGAACCACUUGAACAGCUAGCUGAUGAAGAUGGUCUUCCUGAAAAACUUGCGCAGAAGAAUCCGAUGUAUCAAAAGGAGAGAGAAACUCCUCGUUUUGCCCAGCAUGGCACAUUUGAGUACGAAUAUUCUCAGCGAUGGAAGUCGUUGGAUGAAAUGGAAAAACAGCAAAGAGAACAAAUGAAAAAAAUAUGAAGGAUGCAAAAGACAAAUUGGAAAGUGAAAUGGAAGAUGCCUAUCAUGAACAUAGGCAAAUCUUUUGCACCAAGAUCUGAUGAGACAACAGGAAGAAUUAAGACGCAUGGAAGAACUUCAUAAUCAAGAAAUGCAGAAACGUAAAGAAAUGCAAUUGAGGCAAGAGGAGGAACUACAUAGAAGAGAGGAAGAGAUGAUGAUUCGUCAGCGUGAGAUGAAAGAACAAAUGAGGCGCCAAAGAGAGGAAAGUUAUAGCCGAAUGGGCUACAUGGAUCCAAGAGAAAGAGACAUGAGAAUGGGUGGCGGAGGAGCAAUGAACAUGGGAGAUCCCUAUGGUUCAGGAGGCCAGAAAUUUCCACCUCUAGGUGGUGGUGGUGGUGGCAUAGGUUAUGAAGCUAAUCCUGGAGUUCCACCAGCAACCAUGAGUGGUUCCAUGAUAGGAAGUGACAUGCGUACUGAGCACUUUGGGCAGGGAGGUGCGGGGCCUGUGGGUAGACAGGGUCCUAGAGGAAUGGGGCCUGGAACUCCAGCAGGAUAUGGUAGAGGGAGAGAAGAGUACGAAGGCCCAAACAGAAAAACCCCGAUUUUAGAUGUGAUAUCUAGGCUUUCAUUCCAGUUUGUUUUGUCUUUUGUUUAGAUACCAAUCUUUUAAAUUCUGACAUUUUAGUAAGAAAGCUAUCUUUUUAUGGAUGUUAGUAGUUUAUUGACCUAAUAUUUGUAAAUGGUCUGUUUGGGCAGGUAAAAUUAUGUAAUGCAGUUGUUUGAAACAGGAUAAUUUUUUUUCUUACUUCCUUAUUUUUUCUUUUUUUACUGUAUAAUGUCCUUCAAGUUAUGGCAGUGUACCUUGUGCCACUGAAUUUCCAAAGUGUACCAAUUUUUCUUUUUUUACUGUGCUUCAAAUAAAUAGAAAAAUAGUUAU